AUUGAACGCUGGCGGCAGGCUUAACACUUGCAAGUCGAGCGAGCGGCGGACGGGUGAGUAAUGUCUGGGAAACUGCCUGAUGGCGGGGGCUAACUACUGGAAACGGUAGCUACUACCGCAUACCAUCAGAUGUGCCCAGAUGGGAUUAGCUAGUAGGUUGGGUAAUCGCUCACCUAGGCGACGAUCCCUAGCUGGGCUGAGAGGAUGACCAGUCACACUGGAACUGAGACACGGUCCAGACUCCUACGGUAGGCAGAAGUGGGGAAUAUUGCACAAUGGGCGCAAGCCUGAUGCAGCCAUGCCGCGUGUGUGACGAAGGCCUUCGGGUUGUAAAGCACUUUCAGCGAGGAGGCGUUACUCGCAGAAGAAGCACCGGCGAAAACAGGGACAGCAGCCGCGGUAAUACC
Molecule: ribosomal RNA, 407 nt
Filed under: uncultured bacterium
Lineage: Bacteria
Description: partial 16S ribosomal RNA
Rfam family: Bacterial small subunit ribosomal RNA
Source: RNAcentral